GAGGAAAAGAAACCAACAGGGAUUGCCCCAGUAACGGCGAGUGAAGCGGCAACAGCUCAAAUUUGAAAUCUGGCUUUCGGGCCCGAGUUGUAAUUUGUAGAGGAUGCUUUUGGCGCGGUGCCUUCCGAGUUCCCUGGAACGGGACGCCACAGAGGGUGAGAGCCCCCUACGGUCGGACACCAAGCCUCUGUAAAGCUCCUUCGACGAGUCGAGUAGUUUGGGAAUGCUGCUCUAAAUGGGAGGUAUAUCUCUUCUAAAGCUAAAUAUAGGCCAGAGACCGAUAGCGCACAAGUAGAGUGAUCGAAAGAUGAAAAGCACUUUGAAAAGAGGGUUAAAAAGUACGUGAAAUUGUUGAAAGGGAAGGGCUUGUGACCAGACUUGUGCCGGGUUGAUCAUCCGCGGUUCUCCCGCGGUGCACUCUCCCCGGUCCAGGCCAGCGUCGGUUCUGGGAGGGGGACAAAAGCUUGGGGAACGUGGCUCCUCCGGGAGUGUUAUAGCCCCUCGCCCAAUGCCCCUGCCGGGACCGAGGUUCGCGCUCUGCAAGGACGCUG
RNAcentral lists this ribosomal RNA (551 nucleotides) under Coniochaeta sp. RNAcentral describes it as "LSU rRNA". It matches the Rfam family "Eukaryotic large subunit ribosomal RNA", at positions 53 to 628 of the family's 3401-position model. The record is from RNAcentral. Lineage: Eukaryota; Fungi; Ascomycota; Sordariomycetes; Coniochaetales; Coniochaetaceae.